CAGCUUGUGACGGGUCCAGCUGGCUGGCCCCAUGAGGUGACUUCUGCCCAGUGCUCUGGUUGUCAAUCCCAAGAGAUCGAGGCAAGCGCGGGUAAACGGCGGGAGUAACUAUGACUCUCUUAAGGUAGCCAAAUGCCUCGUCAACCAAUUAUUGACGCGCAUGAAUGGAUCAACGAGAUUCCUGCUGUCCCUAGCGGCUAUCCGGUGAACCAACAGCCAAGGGAACGGGCUUGGAUGUGCCAGCGGGGAAAGAAGACCCUGUUGAGUUUGACUCUAGUCUGCUGCUGUGCAACGACAUGUGGGGUGUAGCAUAGGUGGGAGGUGAGCGUCAUGCUCCAUCCUUCCCCUGGAAGUGCCAUGUGUGUCCAAUGGACGUGAGCCAGCAAUGAAAUACCACUACCUUCACCGUCGUUUUACUCAUCGAGUGGCUUGGGAACAGUGGCCAUUGGACAUCGGCCAUCGCACACCCAUGUGGUGGUCGUGGCCUGUAUCUGGUUCGUGACUCAAGCCAAGGUCUUAUCCCUCACGGGACAGUGGCCUGGCAACCCAAUGGGCUGACCACCCAUCCAUCGGCUAUGGAGCCUCGGAACAAUGAUCAGUUGGGGAGUUUGGCUGGGGCGGCACGCCUGUUACAUUGCAACGCAGGCGUCCUGAAGCAUUGCUCAGAUGGAACAGAAAUCUCCCAUGGAGGAGCAGGCCAAAGGUGCUGCUGAUGUGUUGACUUCCAGUACAAGUCCUGAACACGCAAGUGUGGCCUUGCGAUCCUUUGGUCAAGUGCACGAGUUCUGGAUAUUGAAGCCAGAGGUGUCAGAAAAAUUACCACAGGGAUAACUGGCUUGUGGCUGCCAAGCGUUCACAGCGACGUCGCUUUUUGAUCCUUCGAUGUCGGCUCUUCCUAGCUUCUCGCCUGCAGCCGAGCAGAAGAGUUGGAUUGUUCACCCACCAACAGGGAACGUGAGCUGGGUUUA
This 968-nucleotide ribosomal RNA is filed under the name Phacus hamatus. Its description in RNAcentral is "eukaryotic LSU rRNA". It matches the Rfam family "Eukaryotic large subunit ribosomal RNA", at positions 2154 to 2965 of the family's 3401-position model. Lineage: Eukaryota; Euglenozoa; Euglenophyceae; Euglenales; Phacaceae. The record is from RNAcentral.